CGAACGCCCGUACCGCUACGGGAGUGGCGGACGGGUGAGUGACGCGUGGGAACGUACCCGGAGGGACGGAAUAACCGAGGGAAACUUCGGCUAAUACCGUAUGAGCCCCGCAAGGGGGAAAGAUUUAUCGCCUUGGGAGCGGCCCGCGUCGGACUAGCUAGUUGGUGGGGUAACGGCCUACCAAGGCUUCGAUCCGUAGCUGGUCUGAGAGGACGAUCAGCCACACUGGGACUGAGACACGGCCCAGACUCCUACGGGAGGCAGCAGUGGGGAAUCUUGCGCAAUGGGGGCAACCCUGACGCAGCCAUGCCGCGCGAACGAUGAAGGCCUUAGGGUUGUAAAGUUCUUUUACCCGUGACGAUGAUGACGGUAACGGGGGAAUAAGCUCCGGCUAACUUCGUGCCAGCAGCCGCGGUAAUACGAAGGGGGCUAGCGUUGUUCGGAAUUACUGGGCGUAAAGCGCGCGCAGGCGGUUCGAUAAGUUGGGGGUGAAAUCCCCGGGCUCAACCCGGGAAUGGCCUUCAAGACUGUCGAGCUAGAGGACGAGAGAGGUGAGUGGAAUUCCCAGUGUAGAGGUGAAAUUCGUAGAUAUUGGGAAGAACACCGGUGGCGAAGGCGGCUCACUGGCUCGUUUCUGACGCUGAGGCGCGAAAGCGUGGGGAGCAAACAGGAUUAUAUACCCUGGUUAGUCCACGCCGUAGACGAUGAGUGCCAGGUGUCGGGGGAC
This 727-nucleotide ribosomal RNA is filed under the name uncultured bacterium. Its description in RNAcentral is "bacterial SSU rRNA". It matches the Rfam family "Bacterial small subunit ribosomal RNA", at positions 63 to 831 of the family's 1533-position model. The record is from RNAcentral.